RNAcentral lists this ribosomal RNA (390 nucleotides) under uncultured bacterium. RNAcentral describes it as "bacterial SSU rRNA". It matches the Rfam family "Bacterial small subunit ribosomal RNA", at positions 30 to 422 of the family's 1533-position model. The record is from RNAcentral.
AUUGAACGCUGGCGGCAUGCCUUACACAUGCAGGUCGAACGGUAACGGGCCUUCGGGUGCCGACGAGUGGCGAACGGGUGAGUAAUGUAUCGGAACGUACCUUUCAGUGGGGGAUAACGUAGCGAAAGUUACGCUAAUACCGCAUAUUCUGUGAGCAGGAAAGCAGGGGAUCGCAAGACCUUGCGCUGAUUGAGCGGCCGAUAUCAGAUUAGCUAGUUGGUGAGGUAAAGGCUCACCAAGGCGACGAUCUGUAGCGGGUCUGAGAGGAUGAUCCGCCACACUGGAACUGAGACACGGUCCAGACUCCUACGGGAGGCAGCAGUGGGGAAUUUUGGACAAUGGGGGCAACCCUGAUCCAGCCAUGCCGCGUGAGUGAAGAAGGCCUUCGGG